ACUCAAAUGAAUUGACGGGGGCCCGCACAAGCGGCGGAGCAUGUGGAUUAAUUCGAUGCAACGCGAAGAACCUUACCUGGGCUUGACAUACACCAGAUCGCUGCAGAGAUGUAGCUUCCCUUGUGGCUGGUGUACAGGUGGUGCAUGGUUGUCGUCAGCUCGUGUCGUGAGAUGUUGGGUUAAGUCCCGCAACGAGCGCAACCCUUGUCUUAUGUUGCCAUCACGUGAUGGUGGGCACUCAUGAGAGACUGCCGGGGUUAACUCGGAGGAAGGUGGGGAUGACGUCAAAUCAUCAUGCCCCUUAUGUCCAGGGCUUCACACAUGCUACAAUGGUCGGUACAGCGAGUUGCCACACCGUGAGGUGGAGCUAAUCUCUUAAAGCCGGCCUCAGUUCGGAUUGGGGUCUGCAACUCGACCCCAUGAAGUCGGAGUCGCUAGUAAUCGCAGAUCAGCAACGCUGCGGUGAAUACGUUCCCGGGCCUUGUACACACCGCCCGU
RNAcentral lists this ribosomal RNA (498 nucleotides) under uncultured bacterium. RNAcentral describes it as "bacterial SSU rRNA". It matches the Rfam family "Bacterial small subunit ribosomal RNA", at positions 899 to 1397 of the family's 1533-position model. The record is from RNAcentral.